RNAcentral lists this ribosomal RNA (253 nucleotides) under uncultured bacterium. RNAcentral describes it as "partial 16S ribosomal RNA". It matches the Rfam family "Bacterial small subunit ribosomal RNA", at positions 524 to 776 of the family's 1533-position model. The record is from RNAcentral.
UACGGAGGGGGCUAGCGUUGUUCGGAAUUACUGGGCGUAAAGCGCGCGUAGGCGGCUUUGUAAGUUAGAGGUGAAAGCCCGGAGCUCAACUCCGGAAUUGCCUUCGAUACUGGCGAUCUUGAGUCCGGAAGAGGUGAGUGGAACUCCUAGUGUAGAGGUGGAAUUCGUAGAUAUUAGGAAGAACACCAGUGGCGAAGGCGGCUCACUGGUCCGGUACUGACGCUGAGGUGCGAAAGCGUGGGGAGCAAACAGG